Molecule: long non-coding RNA, 7049 nt
Filed under: Homo sapiens (human)
Lineage: Eukaryota; Metazoa; Chordata; Mammalia; Primates; Hominidae
Description: HSALNT0133090
Source: RNAcentral
CCACCCACGCAUCCACCCAUCCAUGCAUCCAUCCAUCCCCUUGCUACACCAUGCAAUCAAUACUCAUUUACUAAUAUGGGACUGUGGGGAAUAUAAAACUGAGUACUAAAUAUAUCUGGGCAGCAUCUAACAGUACUCGUUCUGAUAACUAAUAUUUAUUGAACAGUACCAGAAAUAUAUUUUAAAAAAUGUUGAGUAGGGCCCAGAUCUGCUUUCAAGAAGAAGCUGCCCAGAUCUGCUGAGCAAGAACAGUGCUUCCGGGAACACCUGAGCUAAGGGCUCUCUGGCAGUUUCUUGUCCAGGGAAACCUUCAUAGAAAUGACAUUACGCUUGAGCCAUGGAUGAUGAUAAGGAUUCUGCCAGGUGGGAAGUGUUCAAGGCUUCCUGGGCAGAGGAGGUAGAGGGGUGGCGAGGCAUGGGGCAUGGGAACCGGUGGCAUCUGGCUGCAAAGUGGGGCCCGAGGGAUUGUGAUUGCAGGGUUCCUGUGGGGUUGGCCAGAUCUGGCCUUGGAAGAAAGGUCUGGCGAGACUUUGCAUGGCUUCCUAUGGAGUAAGAAAAGAAGAGCCCAGAAGGGCCGGGUGUGUGUCUGCUCAUGUGUGUGUAAGUUUGCGUGUUUGUGUGUGUGUUUGUGUGUGUGAGUUUGUGAGUUUGUGUAAAUGUGUUUGUGUGAGUUUGUGUUUGAGUCUGAGUCUGUGUAUUUGUGUGUCUGUGUGAGUUUGUGUGUGUGAGUCUGUGUGUCUGUGUGUGUGUCUGUCUGUGUGUGAGUUUGCGUGUCUGUGUGAGUCUGUGUAUGUGUUUGUGUUUGUCCGUGUGUGUGUGAGUCUGUGUUUUUAUGUGUGUGAGAGUGUGUGUGUGUACAUGUGUGCUUAGAGAGCCAUUGGCAUGGUCAGCAUGUGGUUAGAGGCUGCCCUUCUGGGAAGUUCUGAUUUUCUGGCUCCUCACCCCCGAUUCUGUGGCUACAUCCAGGUAUUAAACUCCGAUGGCUUUUCACAUCCUUUGCCCCUGGGUCACACGAGAUUUCCCAAGGGGGUGUAGUGGGGAUUGAAUAGGAGACAGCGGAGGGUGAGAGAAGGAAGGGGAAAGGAAGCAGCAGCAGUGGGCAGGCUUAUCACUGCCCUGGGGUUUGAAGCCGGUUACCAGCACUCAUUUUCCAAAACCAGCCUGCCCAGAUGGCUGUCUGCCCACCUCAGCGGAAAAAGGCGUUGUGGCAUCAGUUCCUGCAGCGGCGCUACUGGGUAAGGCUGGGCGAGGGGCGGGCCACCAGAUGUGCUUCCUGCCAGCUAGAGCUCUCGGCUAAAACCCUCCUCUCCACUCUGCUCUUCACCCCAUGGAGUCCAGAAAGUUCUGCAUGUGAACGUGAGGGACACUGAGGACCAGUCCUGGGUAGCCAAGGAGGUCCAGCACUCGCAAUUCCCUGGUGGCAGAAGUAACCUGAGCCCGGGGGAGUGAAGAAGCCAAUCAGAAGACAGAGAGCUUGCUCGGAGGUGAUCCCUUAACCAAAAUCGGGGUAAGUGCCCAGGUGCCACCCCAUUCCAGGUGCCAGAGCUGGAACAUGCAGUUCCGGAGGCCAUGGUUGUGUGGUGCCUACCUUGCGUUCCAGGUCCCUUCUAUAUGGGGCCUCAGGCAGUGGAGGAAUGUACCCUGCCUGGGGGGCAUUUCACCUAUUUGCCCCACACCCUGGGCCUGUGUCCUUCUGUCCUGCACGGAACCUGUGUCCUUCCCCCACCCCUCCCCUACAUAAUGAGUCUCUUCUAUCACACAAUAACUCCUUGGUGGAAAUAAGCACACAGCCUGGGGUACACUGGGCAGGAGGAUGACGCAUGGGGGUCUCCUUCCCUCCUUCUGAAGCCCCAUGGCGAUCCUGUCCCACUCCUUAAACUAUCUGUAUCUCCACACUCUCCCUGUACUCCAUGAAGUCCCCUGAAGGGCAAAAGACAACUCUACUUGCUUUUCUAGAGGACAUGGGCCUUGGCAGGGACCUGGGUACAGCUCCUGCCAAAAGCACCGUGGGCAUCAGCCCCAGGUAAGGGAGCACUCAUGGACCAGCCCCAGGUAAGGGAGGACUCAUGGACCAAUCCAGGGAUAAAACGGAACACGAGUUUUAUAUCCUGGUGGGCGGGGGGGGGAAGGGGGCAGGUGUCAGCAGCGAUGGAAAUGUGAGGACACCAGGCCUGGAGCUUCAGUGACUUGGCCAAAGUCCCACGGCUGCCCUCGGUGUGCACUCAGGCUCUGGAACAUCAUGGCUCAUCACGUUUAACCUCCUGUUUCCAUCUGGGUGAUGAAAAGCUAAGGGGAGUUAACGCGCCGCUGCAGCUCAUUGUCAAAGCCAGCUUCAGGCAGAGAACGAAGGAGGGAGCGACUUCGGGGCUGGGUGAGCUGGAUUCUGUUCCUGCUCUGCCACCACCAUAAGCGGUCCCAGCUGUUACAACGCGGCUCUGCACCUCCACUUCCUCCUCUGUAAAAUGAGUGUCCUCGCCUCUGUCCUCGCUCCCUCUCAAGACUUCUGGGGGAGGGAUGACACGCUAUGAAAAUGCUGAACCUGGACUCAGGAUGCGGCGCAGGUGGAAUGGGGGGAGAAAUGCUCCCACGUGUGCACACACUCACCCAUCCAGACUUCGCCGAAUUGUCCAGACCCGAGUUUCCUGACCAGCCUGAGAGACUGCCGGGGGAUCUCCCAUUCAUCCUGGGCCCAGGGAUUCUGCGGGGCCGGGCGCACACAGGGCAGGGUCAGCCUCUGGCAUAGACCAUCCCCCUUCUCUGCAUUAGGGAAGAAAAGACAGGGCUGGGGGUUACCAGAGCAGCCAGGCUCUACCUUGGGAGCUGUAUCAUUCCUAGCUGGCCCUCCACUCCCCAGCCACCCCACCCCCUGCAUGGGUGUGUGCACACGCCUGCACAUGCACACACACUCAACUCUUUCUCUUCGUUUGCGCAAAGCAGGGCAUGCUAUCUCUAAAAUCGACCUGCUCACUCUAAGACUGAAAAUGCUUGCUACUCUCUAAGGGGUUCCCUGCUGAGCCAGGAGAGGGAAUUAGGGCCACCAAUUCCCGGUGCUCAGAGUUGCUACCUCCUUAGGCCUAACUUUGGGAUAAUCUUUCCAUCCCCCAAGGUGGCACCAAUGACUCACACAAUUGGGAAUCUUAGCGAGAGAUCCAGGGGCUCUUGGCACAAGUCCCUGCCCCCAUUGCACGCCCCCUCUUACUAGAAUAGUGCUGCACCAGGGCCUGGAGCGAGGGGAAGGUGAUCCGGGGGGAGAUGUAGUAGCCCCCUUCAUCCAGGCAGCGGAUCUUAUAGUGCUUGAUCAGCUCCCCCUGGGUGGUGACAUCCUUCACAGACAGGGAGAAGGCACCUGGAGGGUUCAUGAAGACACACACGAGAAGUAAGGCACAAAGACAAAAAACGGGACUGGGAUUUGGGCCUCAUUUUAAAGCUUUGAAAAAAGUUCCCCAAUUCUGUUCUUCAUUAUCAGCACUCCCUCCACAAGUUUCCUUUCCCUGCAUCUCAACCUCCAUGCUUUUGGAAGCCUCCCCUCAGCUGCAAGUACCCAUGUCCAUGGCGGACACCGUAAUAAGCUAUGCCCAGGGGCUCUGUUCAAAGUCAUUUGCUGCCUGUUACAUACACCUGUUAUUUUGUCUUCUAGGUUAAUGUUUUCCCGCAGGCAAGUGGUAGCAGAUGUCAAGGGUUAAGGACAAUUUAGGAGGCUGCACUUGUGUCGGGUGCCUCGGGCGAUGAGCCCAGGAGCCCGCUCUCCACGCAGUGACGCUUCCCAAGCUGGUGCUUUAGACCCCUCACUUGCCUGGCUGCUCUGAGGCCCCGUCCCUGAUGGCUUCUGACAAUUUGGUGUCCUUUGUAAAGACGACCUCAGAUCCUAUCAGCUUCAGUUUCACAAAACCUGGAUCCCCUGCCUCUGUGGUAUGUCUGGACUGCCCUGGGCAGGCAGGGCCUGGCUCUGAGAUGAAGAUUUCUCAGCACUGAAGGACCGCCUGCCUUUGAGCUGUGAAACUAGUCUAUCCUCACAUAGACACCAGUAAACUGAGGCUUGAGAGGCUCAAGGACACCCCGGAGGCCACGAAGGGUAGAACUCACUCCCCUGCUUCCAUCCCUGUCUUGCAUUCACUGCUGUGGCUCGGAGAAGCAGAGGGGUCUUGCUUUGGAGUUGUGUGUGUGUGUGCAUAUGUACGUGUAAGGUGUGUACAUGUGUUGCACACGUGUUCAUUGCAUCUGUGCAUAUGUGCACAUGUAUAUGUGUGCGUGUGUGUGUAUAUGUGCAUGCGUGGACAUGUGUAUGUGUUUGCAUGUGUAUGUGUGCACACAUGCCUGUGUAUGCACAUGUGUGUAUAUGUGUGCAUUUGUGCAUAUGUGCAUGUGUGUUCAUGUGUGCAUGUGUAUGUGCGUGUGGUGGUGAUGAUGGUUGAACAGUCCUGCAGCCCUGGUCCCAUAUGGCCUAUUCCCAGCUUGGACUGGCUUCCUGGGGUGGACAUGGACAGGAAAAGAUGCCAGACUCAUAGAGAACCCCUUCUUCCUCCACACCAGAUUGGGCAGGGGGUGGGGAGGCUUUCACCUUAGCAAUAGGCAAUGGUUGAAAUAUCAUUUCCAGGGUGACAUGACAUGAUGUUUGGGAUUUACUUCGAAAGAACAGGGGUGGAGCGGGAGAUACAGAUGAAACAAGACUGGCUCAGUUGAUAAUUGUUGAAGCUGGCUGUUGGGUACCAGGGGUUCCACUAAACUAUUUUCUCUACUUCUGUGUAUGUUUGAAAUGUCCUGGAACAACAAUAAAACACUUAUGUCAUCUCCAGUGAUUCCCAAAUUAUUUCUUGUACAGAGGUGCUCUGCCACAAAAAUGAAAUAGUGACAAUAUCCAAUAUGAAUAUAAAUAUAAAAUGCAUAUAUCUAUGUGUAUGUAUAUGUAUGUAUAUGCAUUCAUUGGCAUAUUCCAAGAAAUCCUGCACAGAGCACCCCAGCUUUCCAAUGCACCCUUCCUGCUCCCCAACCUGGUCCUGCCCCUUUGUGGGGCACCAAGGCCUCAUGAUGUCCCCAGAGAAUCACAGGGUGCUAUGACAGCUUUUCAUACUCUGGGUUUCCACUCUGGCUGCUGUUCUUGAGCCACAGAUGGAACCAAUGGACAGCCCAAGGGUGCUCCCACCAGGUGACAACUCUGUCCAUUCUCAUCGCCCCAACCACAGGGAACCAGACUCAUAUUCCAGACACUCUCUCUCCCUUUCCUCCUCUGAUGUCACUGUCACCAUCUCCUCUCCAGUUAAAAUUGGCUACAAGGCUGUACCUGGUCCCUGUGGACAGCUUCCUGAUGAGCAAAGCAUUCUUCAUACUGCCUGGGAAGCCCCUGGGUCACCCUAGCUUGCCACGUUGUAGAGCUUGGGAAGCCUCUCAGCCUCUUAGAUGAUGUGGUCACUGGUGCUUUGGGCUCUGAUGCUUACUGUUGGCCCCCAGCAAGUCACUUCCUGUUUCAGGGACUCCCUUUCCUCAUCUGUCAAGUGGAUUAGUAUCUUACAGACGAAAAGCUAGUGGCCAGUGAGCACCAGGGACCAUAAUAGGGUUCGGUGCAACACAUGCAUUAACAGCCCCAAACUGGAAACAACUCAAUGCCCACAACAUGAGAAUGGCUAACUUGACUCUGGAAUGGUCACACCCGGGAUUCUGUAUAGCAAUGAACAUGAACAGGCUCACCAUCCUCAACCACAUGAAUGAAUCUGUUACUGGUUGAAUCAUGUGCGCUCCCAAUUCAUAUGUUAAAGUCCUAACCCUCGGUCCUGAGAAUGUGGCUAUAUGUGGAGACAGAGCCUUUAAAGGGGUGAUUAAGUUAAAAUGAGGUCAUAUGGGUGGGCCCUAAUCCAAAUUGACAGGUGUCCUUACAAGAAGAGAUUAGGACACAGACAUGCAUGGAGGGACGGCCACGUGAGGACACAGAGAAGACGGCCAUCGGCAAGCCAAGGAGAGAGCUCCCGGGAGGAGCCAACGCUGCUGACACUUUGGUCGUGGACUUCCAGCCUCCAGAGCUGUGAGAUAAUAAGCUUCUGUGGUGGAAGCCACCCAGUCUGUGCCACUUUGUUACGGCAGCCCAGGAAACUAACAUAGAAUCCCACAAACACUGCUGAGUGACAGAAGCAAGACACACAGAAACAAAAACAGUGAUUCUAUCUACAUCAAGCUGAAAAAACAGACAAGACAUGGUGGCGAAACCACAGAGAAGAGCAAGGAAGGAUUUCCAUCCAAGUCAGGACAGCAGGUAGCUCUUGAGGGUGGGGGUUGAAUCAGGAAGGAGCCCAAGUGGGGGAGUGAGGGGGCUCCUGGUGGUCUGGGAUGCUCUUUCUCUUGGCUGUCAUUACACAGGGAUUUGUUUAUUAUUACCCUAUAUGAUUUAGAAUUACACAUUCAUACUUCAUGCAAGCUUUAUAUGUGUUUUAUAUUUUACACCAAAAAAAUUAAGAAGGAAAGAAAGCCAAAUGACAGAGAAAGAGAGAAAACCCCUGAGGGUGAUGGCAGCUGUUUUGCUCAGUCAGUGGAUUUGAACUCAUGAGUGUCUAGACUGGCAUGGGCUCCCCUCAAUUACCACCCUCUUCUCUUACAUCACGGCACAGGCCACUUCCUAACAUAUGCUACCUGCAGCCUCUGGCUGAGAUGAUCUUGAAGGAUUCUUUGAGCUCCCCCUAAUCCUUGAUUCCAAAGAGGCUGGUGGUUAAGGGCUCAGGGUUCCCCCUUCCCUGGCCCCCACUGGCCUCGGUGUUCCUGCUGACUGGGCAGCAGGGCCAGUCUGGCGUGGGACCACCCCUGUCCACCCGGCUUCCUGUGCCCAGGUGGUUUCCAGCCGGGACAGGGAGGACUGUGUGGACAGCCCCCAUGUCAACUCCCGGGCAGGGCCUGAAUUGGGAGGGACACAAGCCCGGAAGCUGCUGGUUCUCCUGGCAGUCACCCCUUCCCCUCUCACUCCAGGGCCAGGCCUCUGGAGGCGCCUUCCCGGGAGGAGCAGGGCAAGGAAGGCAGGCAAAGCCACCAAGCCUACCUUUGUUGGUUUCACUCUCUCUGAUAAGAAAGGA